CCGGGUAGCGACGUCGGGAAGGGAUAACCGCUGAAAGCAUCUAAGUGGGAAGCCCACCUCAAGAUGAGCACUCCCAGGGCGUGAAGCCCUCGGAAGGGCCGUGCGAGACGAGCACGUUGAUAGGCGGCAGGUGGAAGCAUGGCGACAUGUGCAGCCGAGCCGUACUAAGUGCCCGAGAGGCUUGACCAG
Molecule: ribosomal RNA, 189 nt
Filed under: Gammaproteobacteria bacterium
Lineage: Bacteria; Pseudomonadati; Pseudomonadota; Gammaproteobacteria
Description: partial 23S ribosomal RNA
Rfam family: Bacterial large subunit ribosomal RNA
Source: RNAcentral